CCUUUACCCGCGGCUUUAAAUUGCAGACGAAUUACGAGGAAACUUGUAAGCCGCAAGGCGUCUGUGAAGGUGCUGCAUGGUUGUCGUCAGCUCGUGCCGUGAGGUGUCGGCUUAAGUGCCAUAACGAGCGCAACCCUCGUGGUCAGUUACUAACAGGUUAAGCUGAGGACUCUGGCCAGACUGCCAUCGUAAGAUGUGAGGAAGGUGGGGAUGACGUCAAAUCAGCACGGCCCUUACGUCCGGGGCUACACACGUGUUACAAUGGGAGGUACAGAAGGCUGCUACCCGGCAACGGGAUGCCAAUCCCCAAAACCUCUCUCAGUUCGGACUGGAGUCUGCAACCCGACUCCACGAAGCUGGAUUCGCUAGUAAUCGCGCAUCAGCCACGGCGCGGUGAAUACGUUCCCGGGCCUUGUUACACACCGCCC
RNAcentral lists this ribosomal RNA (428 nucleotides) under uncultured Bacteroidaceae bacterium. RNAcentral's name for it is "bacterial SSU rRNA". It matches the Rfam family "Bacterial small subunit ribosomal RNA", at positions 966 to 1395 of the family's 1533-position model. The record is from RNAcentral. Lineage: Bacteria; Pseudomonadati; Bacteroidota; Bacteroidia; Bacteroidales; Bacteroidaceae.